UGAGCCAGUAGCGAACGGGUGAGUAACGCGUAAGUACGUGCCUUUCAGAAUGGGAUAUACGCUGGAAACGGUGGGUAAUACCAUAUAAUGUAGAAAUACCAAAGGAGAAAUCCGCUGAAAGAUCGGCUUGCGUCAGAUAUGUAGUUGGUGGGGUAAAAGCUUACCAAGCAAUUAUCUGUAGUUGGUCUGAGAGGAUGAUCAGCCACACUGGAACUGAGACACGGUCCAGACUCC
Molecule: ribosomal RNA, 234 nt
Filed under: uncultured bacterium
Lineage: Bacteria
Description: partial 16S ribosomal RNA
Rfam family: Bacterial small subunit ribosomal RNA
Source: RNAcentral